CAUGGUACGGUCGGAGCGAUGUAGGUGUUUCGUGGCGUAUUGUAGCAGCAAUCUAGCUAUUUUUGCUGCUAUUUAUGCUUAUGCUGUGUUGUGGCUAAUUCAUCGAUGCAAGCCAACCAGCAAGGUGUUUGCGAAGCCCACGGUGCUUUCUUCGUUCCGUGAUGUGAGCGUUUCUGGAACUUCUCUGCCAGCUGCGAUGCAGAGUCGUGUGAAGUGAUUUAAUAUUGGCACUGUCCGUGUUUUAAACUGCACAAAUAGCGAACAGCUGUUCCUCAAGACUGCUAUGCGCCGAAGUUUUCUCUAUCUCCAAAUUAUAAUAAAAGCUGCCCCGCGUCAUGGGCUUCGCUUGAAGUUGCUAUAAACACGAAGCGCACAAAUACUUCGGUUUCACAGCGUUCGCAAUGACCUAAGAUCUGGGUUGGUUCAUUCUGCAAGCAUCCUGAGACAUCAGCUUGCAUAAUCGAUGCUUGCUAGAGAUUAUGCGACAGCUGCCAUGCCGUAAUCAACUAAGUCAUUAUUCAUUUAUUUUUUUUUAAUUUCU
Dermacentor albipictus is the source of this 541-nucleotide non-coding RNA. The record is from RefSeq and is a predicted model, not a curated record. NCBI's taxonomy places the organism in Eukaryota, Metazoa, Arthropoda, Arachnida, Ixodida, Ixodidae.